GAUAAAUUUAUUUAUUUAUUUAUUUAUUUUAAUGAAAAGAAAAUUUAAAGAAAUAUAAAAGAAACAAAAAUCUGGCAAAAAAUACGGCUUUCAUAUCAUAUGUUAAACUUUAAUAAUAAUUAAGAUCGUAUCUUCUGCUAUGAUUUCGAUUUUCAUAUCCGGGUUGUAAACGGUCAUAAUAUCCGGGUUGCAAACGGCUAUUCUUGCUCGUGGUUCAUUCUCGUUCGCGAUCUGUAAAAGAGCGGAAUGUUUCGAGUUUAAUUUUCUUAUCCCCGGAGAUGAAGCCGUCACAGAAAAUAGGAUUAAAGUUAGACCGGAACUCCCGUAUAUUACAUAUUUAUAUAUAACUUGAUGUAAGGAUGCUAAAUCACGUUCGUCUAUUAAAGACGUGUCCAGAUACAUCUUAACCGUUAGAUCUAUCGUAUCUUUAUAGAUCAACUUCAAUAAACCGACUGUAUCUUUAUAGAUCGGCUUUAAUAAAUCACAUGGGCCACAUCCAAUACAUUGUCCUUAUUUAUACCCGUCUGCAUGUGGGCGGGUGGAUAUGCAGGUUACCUAUAAGGUACUCUUAUUUGAAUUGAGCCCUUAUGCUUUUAAAAAUACCAAGUUAUUGGUGCUUGUAGAUUUUUAGCCAUUGGAUUAAAAGAUAUGCGGUUAAGAUGAUAUGGGCCCCCUAGGGUUUAGUGGGUGGUUGGUUGAAUAGUAUAAUUUAAUGGUUGAAAAUGAUCCGAGGAGUAGAUCUAACGGUAAGAAAACUUAAAGUACUAAGUGCUUGGUGCUUUUACAAGCACCAUAGCUGGACUCCUCUUAUUUUAUCUUUCUUUAUGUUAUUAUACUUUUCAAAGGCAAAUACCAUAUAUAUUA
Molecule: long non-coding RNA, 864 nt
Filed under: Ananas comosus (pineapple)
Lineage: Eukaryota; Viridiplantae; Streptophyta; Magnoliopsida; Poales; Bromeliaceae
Description: long non-coding RNA (ACOM_LNC005059)
Source: RNAcentral